CCGUCCGUAUGUCACAGCCACUUUUUUCCGAAACUAUAAGAACUAUACUGUUGAAACUUGGUAAGUAGAUGUAUUUUGUGAACCGGAUUAAGAUUUUCACACAAAAAUAGAAAAAAAACAAUAAAUUUUGAGGGUUCCCCAUACUUAGAACUGAAACUCAAAAUUUUUAUUUUCAUCAAACCCAUACGUGUGGGCUAUCUAUGGAUAGGUCUUCAAAAAUGAUAUUGAGGUUUCUAAUAUCAUUUUUUUCUAAACUGAAUAGUUUGCGCGAGAGACACUUCCAAAGUGGUAAAAUGUGUCCCCCCCCCCUGUAACUUCUAAAAUAAGAGAAUGAUAAAACUAAAAAAAAUAUAUGAUGUACAUUACCAUGCAAACUUCCACUGAAAAUUGGUUUGAACGAGAUCUAGUAAGUAGUUUUUUUUUAAUACAACUGAAACUCAAAAAAAUUUUUUUUUUCAUACCCAUACGUGUGGGGUAUCUAUGGAUAGGUCUUCAAAAAUGAUAUUGAGGUUUCUAAUAUCAUUUUUUUCUAAACUGAAUAGUUUGCGCGAGAGACACUUCCAAAGUGGUAAAAUGUGUGUCCCCCCCCCCUGUAACUUCUAAAAUAAGAGAAUGAUAAAACUAAAAAAAAUAUAUGAUGUACAUUACCAUGCAAACUUCCACCGAAAAUUGGUUUGAACGAAAUCUAGUAAGUAGUUUUUUUUUAAUACGUCAUAAA
Molecule: long non-coding RNA, 718 nt
Organism: Cydia amplana
Lineage: Eukaryota; Metazoa; Arthropoda; Insecta; Lepidoptera; Tortricidae
Exons: 2
Source: RefSeq, a predicted model, not a curated record